Molecule: transfer RNA, 74 nt
Filed under: Flavobacterium columnare
Lineage: Bacteria; Pseudomonadati; Bacteroidota; Flavobacteriia; Flavobacteriales; Flavobacteriaceae
Description: tRNA-Thr
Rfam family: tRNA
About the family: Transfer RNA (tRNA) molecules are approximately 80 nucleotides in length. Their secondary structure includes four short double-helical elements and three loops (D, anti-codon, and T loops).
Source: RNAcentral
GCCGGUGUAGCUCAGCUGACUAGAGCAGCUGAUUUGUAAUCAGCAGGUCGUGGGUUCGAGUCCCUCCAUCGGCU